CAAAGAUUAAGCCAUGCAUGUCUAAGUAUAAGCAAUCUAUACGGUGAAACUGCGAAUGGCUCAUUAAAUCAGUUAUCGUUUAUUUGAUAGUACCUUACUACUUGGAUAACCGUGGUAAUUCUAGAGCUAAUACAUGCUAAAAACCCCGACUUCGGAAGGGGUGUAUUUAUUAGAUAAAAAACCAAUGCCCUUCGGGGCUCCUUGGUGAUUCAUAAUAACUUAACGAAUCGCAUGGCCUUGUGCCGGCGAUGGUUCAUUCAAAUUUCUGCCCUAUCAACUUUCGAUGGUAGGAUAGUGGCCUACCAUGGUUUCAACGGGUAACGGGGAAUUAGGGUUCUAUUCCGGAGAGGGAGCCUGAGAAACGGCUACCACAUCCAAGGAAGGCAGCAGGCGCGCAAAUUACCCAAUCCCGACACGGGGAGGUAGUGACAAUAAAUACUGAUACAGGGCUCUUUUGGGUCUUGUAAUUGGAAUGAGUACAAUUUAAAUCCCUUAACGAGGAACAAUUGGAGGGCAAGUCUGGUGCCAGCAGCCGCGGUAAUUCCAGCUCCAAUAGCGUAUAUUAAAGUUGUUGCAGUUAAAAAGCUCGUAGUUGAACCUUGGGCCUGGCUGGCCGGUCCGCCUCACCGCGUGCACUGGUCCGGCCGGGUCUUUCCUUCUGGGGAGCCGCAUGCCCUUCACUGGGUGUGUCGGGGAACCAGGACUUUUACUUUGAAAAAAUUAGAGUGUUCAAAGCAGGCCUAUGCUCGAAUACAUUAGCAUGGAAUAAUAGAAUAGGACGUGUGGUUCUAUUUUGUUGGUUUCUAGGACCGCCGUAAUGAUUAAUAGGGAUAGUCGGGGGCAUCAGUAUUCAAUUGUCAGAGGUGAAAUUCUUGGAUUUAUUGAAGACUAACUACUGCGAAAGCAUUUGCCAAGGAUGUUUUCAUUAAUCAGUGAACGAAAGUUAGGGGAUCGAAGACGAUCAGAUACCGUCGUAGUCUUAACCAUAAACUAUGCCGACUAGGGAUCGGGCGAUGUUAUCUUUUUGACUCGCUCGGCACCUUACGAGAAAUCAAAGUCUUUGGGUUCCGGGGGGA
RNAcentral lists this ribosomal RNA (1076 nucleotides) under Polyphilus sieberi. Its description in RNAcentral is "SSU rRNA". It matches the Rfam family "Eukaryotic small subunit ribosomal RNA", at positions 38 to 1122 of the family's 1831-position model. The record is from RNAcentral. Lineage: Eukaryota; Fungi; Ascomycota; Leotiomycetes; Helotiales.